Molecule: non-coding RNA, 30 nt
Filed under: Mus musculus (house mouse)
Lineage: Eukaryota; Metazoa; Chordata; Mammalia; Rodentia; Muridae
Source: RNAcentral
UGCCAGAUUAACUUCUGGGUUAUCUUCCUC